RNAcentral lists this ribosomal RNA (638 nucleotides) under Radopholus similis. RNAcentral describes it as "SSU rRNA". It matches the Rfam family "Eukaryotic small subunit ribosomal RNA", at positions 1003 to 1664 of the family's 1831-position model. Lineage: Eukaryota; Metazoa; Nematoda; Chromadorea; Rhabditida; Pratylenchidae. The record is from RNAcentral.
GGCGAUCAGAUACCGCCCUAGUUCUGACCGUAAACGAUGCCAACUCGCGAUCCGCCGGCGGAGCAUUUCGCCCUGGUGGGGAGCGUCCCGGAAACGAAAGUCUUCCGGUUCCGGGGGAAGUAUGGUUGCAAAGCUGAAACUUAAAGGAAUUGACGGAAGGGCACCACCAGGAGUGGAGCCUGCGGCUUAAUUUGACUCAACGCGAGGAACCUCACCCGGCCCGGACACCGUAAGGAUUGACCGAUCGACAGCUCAUUCAUGAUUCGGUGGUUGGUGGUGCAUGGCCGUUCUUAGUUCGUGGAUUUGAUCUGUCUGCUUUAUUGCGAUAACCGAGCGAGACCCACGCCUGCUAACUAGUCAGUGCAUUGCCAUUGUGCGCGCCGACUUCUUAGAGGGAUUCGCGGUGUUCAGCCGUUUGAAAGUGGGCAAUAACAGGUCUGUGAUGCCCUUAGAUGUCCGGGGCUGCACGCGGGCUACACUGGCAAAACCAGCGUGCUUGUCCUGCCUCGAAGGAGGUGGGUAAACCCGGCAAAAUUUGCCGUGAUUGGGAUCGGAGAUUGCAAUUAUUUUCCGUGAACGAGGAAUUCCAAGUAAGUGCGAGUCAUCAGCUCGCGUUGAUUACGUCCCUGCCCAUUGUA